RNAcentral lists this ribosomal RNA (508 nucleotides) under uncultured bacterium. Its description in RNAcentral is "partial 16S ribosomal RNA". It matches the Rfam family "Bacterial small subunit ribosomal RNA", at positions 30 to 523 of the family's 1533-position model. The record is from RNAcentral.
AUUGAACGCUAGCGGGAUGCUUUACAUAUGCAAGUCGAACGGUAGCACGAAGGAAGCUUGCUUUCUUUGGUGACGAGUGGCGAACGGGGGAGUAAUGUAUCGGAACGUACCCAGUAGCGGGGGAUAACUACGCGAAAGCGUGGCUAAUACCGCAUACGCCCUACGGGGGAAAGGGGGGGAUCGCAAGACCUCUCACUAUUGGAGCGGCCGAUAUCGGAUUAGCUAGUUGGUGGGGUAAAGGCCCACCAAGGCGACGAUCCGUAGCUGGUUUGAGAGGACAACCAGCACCACUGGGACUGAGACAGGGCCCAGACUCCUAUGGGAGGCAGCAGUGGGGAAUUUUGGACAAUGGGGGCAACCCUGAUCCAGCCAUCCCGCGUGUGCGAUGAAGGCCUUCGGGUUGUAAAGCACUUUUGGCAGAGAAGAAACGACUCUGGAUAAUACCCGGGGUUAAUGACGGUAUCUGCAGAAUAAGCACCGGCUAACUACGUGCCAGCCGCCGCAGUAA